AUCACCUGGGAAACUUGAUAAAAUGUAGAUUCAGAUUCGGUAGGCCUGGGGUGGGACCUGAGAUUCUGUAUUUCUUACAAGGUCCCAGGUGAUGCUGA
This 98-nucleotide microRNA precursor is filed under the name Equus caballus (horse). RNAcentral describes it as "mir-544 microRNA precursor family". It matches the Rfam family "mir-544 microRNA precursor family". The record is from Rfam by way of RNAcentral. Lineage: Eukaryota; Metazoa; Chordata; Mammalia; Perissodactyla; Equidae.